Molecule: ribosomal RNA, 446 nt
Filed under: uncultured bacterium
Lineage: Bacteria
Description: partial 16S ribosomal RNA
Rfam family: Bacterial small subunit ribosomal RNA
Source: RNAcentral
CCUACGGGUGGCAGCAGUCGAGAAUCAUUCACAAUGGGGGAAACCCUGAUGGUGCGACGCCGCGUGGGGGAAUGAAGGUCUUCGGAUUGUAAACCCCUGUCAUGUGGGAGCAAAUCAAAAAGAUAGUACCACAAGAGGAAGAGCCGGCUAACUCUGUGCCAGCAGCCGCGGUAAUAUAGAGGUCUCAAGCGUUGUUCGGAAUCACUGGGCGUAAAGCGUGCGUAGGCUGUUUCGUAAGUCGUGUGUGAAAGGUGCGGGCUCAACCCGCGGACGGCACAUGAUACUGCGAGACUAGAGUAAUGGAGGGGGAACCGGAAUUCUCGGUGUAGCAGUGAAAUGCGUAGAUAUCGAGAAGAACACUCGUGGCGAAGGCAGGUUCCUGGACAUUAACUGACGCUGAGGCACGAAGGCCAGGGGAGCGAAAGGGAUUAGAUACCCUUGUAGUC